RNAcentral lists this long non-coding RNA (508 nucleotides) under Citrus maxima (pomelo). RNAcentral describes it as "long non-coding RNA (CMAX_LNC002144)". Lineage: Eukaryota; Viridiplantae; Streptophyta; Magnoliopsida; Sapindales; Rutaceae. The record is from RNAcentral.
UUAUAUCUCCAUUAGUCGAGCUGUUAUAAUUAAUGAUUGGUAUCAAGACAACUAAUCAAGCUUACAUGGAAAUAAAACUUGCUUCUUCGAUGAGUUACGUUACACGUGUUAAACUUAACAUGCGUUAUACUACAAAUUCAAAAAUAGCCGCCGGCGUGGGGGCCAAAGUACAUUGCUUUCUCUUCUAUUUUGAUCCCAGAAAUUGAGACCAAUUCUCGUUUAAUUAAUGAAAAUUGGGACCGGGUGGAAGCGGGCAAAUUGCUUCAAUUAUGAUAAACAUGAUGCCCAGUCAAGGAGCAAUGACUAGGAUUUGACGGUGAAGAGAAAAAGGUGACACCAAAUGAGGUGAUCAAUUUCAUCGUUUAUUAUUAUUAUUUGCUUCUCCUUAAUGCAAGUUGCACGGUUACUGUGUUCAUCUUCAAUUAGUAAAUUAAAUCAGUCAAGCUGGAUUCAUUAAUUAAACCCUAAAAAGUCAUGCAAGUUGCCUUACAUGAUUGAUAAUUUUUUA